UGGGGAAUUUUGGACAAUGGGCGAAAGCCUGAUCCAGCAAUGCCGCGUGUGUGAAGAAGGCCUUCGGGUUGUAAAGCACUUUUGUCCGGAAAGAAAUCCUUGGCUCUAAUACAGUCGGGGGAUGACGGUACCGGAAGAAUAAGCACCGGCUAACUACGUGCCAGCAGCCGCGGUAAUACGUAGGGUGCAAGCGUUAAUCGGAAUUACUGGGCGUAAGCGUGCGCAGGCGGUUUGCUAAGACCGAUGUGAAAUCCCCGGGCUCAACCUGGGAACUGCAUUGGUGACUGGCAGGCUAGAGUAUGGCAGAGGGGGGUAGAAUUCCACGUGUAGCAGUGAAAUGCGUAGAGAUGUGGAGGAAUACCGAUGGCGAAGGCAGCCCCCUGGGCCAAUACUGACGCUCAUGCACGAAAGCGUGGGGAGCAAACAGGAUUAGAUACCCUGGUAGUCCACGCCCUAAACGAUGUCAACUAGUUGUUGGGGAUUCAUUUCCUUAGUAACGUAGCUAACGCGUGAAGUUGACCGCCUGGGGAGUACGGUCGCAAGAUUAAACUU
RNAcentral lists this ribosomal RNA (552 nucleotides) under uncultured bacterium. RNAcentral describes it as "partial 16S ribosomal RNA". It matches the Rfam family "Bacterial small subunit ribosomal RNA", at positions 355 to 901 of the family's 1533-position model. The record is from RNAcentral.